RNAcentral lists this RNase P RNA (462 nucleotides) under Alphaproteobacteria bacterium 33-17. Its description in RNAcentral is "RNase P RNA component class A". It matches the Rfam family "Bacterial RNase P class A". Rfam says of the family: Ribonuclease P (RNase P) is a ubiquitous endoribonuclease, found in archaea, bacteria and eukarya as well as chloroplasts and mitochondria. Its best characterised activity is the generation of mature 5'-ends of tRNAs by cleaving the 5'-leader elements of precursor-tRNAs. Cellular RNase Ps are ribonucleoproteins. Lineage: Bacteria; Pseudomonadati; Pseudomonadota; Alphaproteobacteria. The record is from RNAcentral. RNAcentral also lists the same sequence under 1 other name.
GCAGGUAAUUGUACGGCUGCCGGCUGUGUUAUAGUAAAUUAGGUUAUAAUUAGAGACAGGAAUAACGAAUGAAAUGUAGCUAAAUCUACAUGAGUGAGGAAAUGACGCAUAUCUAAUAGAACCUAAGAAACUAUAAAGGGCGGGAGGAAAGUCCGGACUCCAGAAAGCACGAUGCCGGAUAACGUCCGGCGGGGGCAACCUUAGGGAAAGUGCAACAGAAAGAUACCGCCUUGCAAAAGGUAAGGGUGAAAUGGUGCGGUAAGAGCGCACCGCGUUUGUAGUAAUACAACCGGCAUGGCAAACCCCAUCGGGAGCAAGACCAAAUAGGAAUGUUAAGCUUUAAUUAGCAAUAGUUGCUUUCACUAUAUAACAUUCGGGUAGGUCGCAAGAGUUUUAAAGUAAUUUAAAGCCUAGAUAAAUAGUCGUACUAGACAGAAUCCGGCUUAUAGAUUACCUGCAAAU